RNAcentral lists this ribosomal RNA (1373 nucleotides) under uncultured bacterium. RNAcentral's name for it is "bacterial SSU rRNA". It matches the Rfam family "Bacterial small subunit ribosomal RNA", at positions 28 to 1381 of the family's 1533-position model. The record is from RNAcentral.
GAUGAACGCUGGCGGCGUGCCUAAUACAUGCAAGUCGAGCGAACAGAUGAGAAGCUUGCUUCUCUGAUGUUAGCGGCGGACGGGUGAGUAACACGUGGGUAACCUACCUAUAAGACUGGGAUAACUCCGGGAAACCGGGGCUAAUACCGGAUAAUAUUUUGAACCGCAUGGUUCAAUAGUGAAAGACGGUUUCGGCUGUCACUUAUAGAUGGACCCGCGCCGUAUUAGCUAGUUGGUAAGGUAACGGCUUACCAAGGCGACGAUACGUAGCCGACCUGAGAGGGUGAUCGGCCACACUGGAACUGAGACACGGUCCAGACUCCUACGGGAGGCAGCAGUAGGGAAUCUUCCGCAAUGGGCGAAAGCCUGACGGAGCAACGCCGCGUGAGUGAUGAAGGUCUUCGGAUCGUAAAACUCUGUUGUUAGGGAAGAACAAAUUUGUUAGUAACUGAACAAGUCUUGACGGUACCUAACCAGAAAGCCACAGCUAACUACGUGCCAGCAGCCGCGGUAAUACGUAGGUGGCAAGCGUUAUCCGGAAUUAUUGGGCGUAAAGCGCGCGUAGGCGGUUUCUUAAGUCUGAUGUGAAAGCCCACGGCUCAACCGUGGAGGGUCAUUGGAAACUGGGAAACUUGAGUGCAGAAGAGGAGAGUGGAAUUCCAUGUGUAGCGGUGAAAUGCGCAGAGAUAUGGAGGAACACCAGUGGCGAAGGCGGCUCUCUGGUCUGUAACUGACGCUGAUGUGCGAAAGCGUGGGGAUCAAACAGGAUUAGAUACCCUGGUAGUCCACGCCGUAAACGAUGAGUGCUAAGUGUUAGGGGGUUUCCGCCCCUUAGUGCUGCAGCUAACGCAUUAAGCACUCCGCCUGGGGAGUACGACCGCAAGGUUGAAACUCAAAGGAAUUGGCGGGGACCCGCACAAGCGGUGGAGCAUGUGGUUUAAUUCGAAGCAACGCGAAGAACCUUACCAAAUCUUGACAUCCUUUGACCGCUCUAGAGAUAGAGUCUUCCCCUUCGGGGGACAAAGUGACAGGUGGUGCAUGGUUGUCGUCAGCUCGUGUCGUGAGAUGUUGGGUUAAGUCCCGCAACGAGCGCAACCCUUAAGCUUAGUUGCCAUCAUUAAGUUGGGCACUCUAGGUUGACUGCCGGUGACAAACCGGAGGAAGGUGGGGAUGACGUCAAAUCAUCAUGCCCCUUAUGAUUUGGGCUACACACGUGCUACAAUGGAUAAUACAAAGGGCAGCGAAUCCGCGAGGCCAAGCAAAUCCCAUAAAAUUAUUCUCAGUUCGGAUUGUAGUCUGCAACUCGACUACAUGAAGCUGGAAUCGCUAGUAAUCGUAGAUCAGCAUGCUACGGUGAAUACGUUCCCGGGUCU